CGCAUGCGCCGCGAGGCCGGUACCCGGCAAUGGCUGGCGAGUUUGUAAGCUGGGCGCUGUUACCUUACCCUUUAGACGUGUUUAUUUGCUCAUUUUUUAAUCUUCGUGGAUGUGAACCUGCGUAUUUUGGGCUAUCAUGUUUUGUCCUCGGACUCCCGUUCGACGUGCUUUGUCGUUGUCUGGCCUUGCAUAUAGGCAGGUGUAGUAUAAGGCACAUGUCUUCUCUGAGCUCAGAGUGGACCCUGCAGUUUUAAAGCGCGAGCGCUGCUAUGUCCUGGGAAAGCAGAAGAUGGCCCAAGUCCUUGGGCCCCUGAACCCGUGUGCACAUGUGUGGGAGAGCCGGAAGAAGCUCCUGGCUUCAGAUCAGCCCAGCUCAUUGUUGCGGCCAGCAACAACUGAAAGUCCAUCCUGAUUCCAGACCCAGUUAAUAGUGACUACUGGAGGCCAGCAUCCCAUAUUGGUGCCGGUUCAAGUCUUGGCAGCUCCACUUCCAUCCAGCUCUUGGCUGUGGCCUGGGAAAGCAGUAGAAGAUGGCCCAAAUCCUUGGGCCCCUGACCCAUGUGGCAGACCCAGAAGAAGCUCCUGGCUCCUGGCUUCAGAUUGGCCCAGCUCCAGUCUUGCGGCCAACUAGGGAGUGAACCAGCGAAUGGAGGACCUCUCACUCUCUAUCUCUCUCUGCCUCUUCCUUCUCUCUCUGUGUAACUCUGACUUCCACAUAAAUAAAUCUUUUAAAGA
Oryctolagus cuniculus (rabbit) is the source of this 735-nucleotide non-coding RNA. The record is from RefSeq and is a predicted model, not a curated record. Lineage: Eukaryota; Metazoa; Chordata; Mammalia; Lagomorpha; Leporidae.